UACGUAGGGUCCAAGCGUUGUUCGGAUUUACUGGGCGUAAAGGGCGCGUAGGCGGCGCGGUAAGUCACUUGUGAAAUCUCUGAGCUUAACUCAGAACGGCCAAGUGAUACUGCAGUGCUAGAGUGUGGAAGGGGCAAUCGGAAUUCUUGGUGUAGCGGUGAAAUGCGUAGAUAUCAAGAGGAACACCUGAGGUGAAGACGGGUUGCUGGGCCAACACUGACGCUGAUGCGCGAAAGCUAGGGGAGCAAACGGG
RNAcentral lists this ribosomal RNA (253 nucleotides) under uncultured bacterium. Its description in RNAcentral is "partial 16S ribosomal RNA". It matches the Rfam family "Bacterial small subunit ribosomal RNA", at positions 524 to 776 of the family's 1533-position model. The record is from RNAcentral.